This 496-nucleotide ribosomal RNA is filed under the name uncultured bacterium. RNAcentral's name for it is "partial 16S ribosomal RNA". It matches the Rfam family "Bacterial small subunit ribosomal RNA", at positions 28 to 507 of the family's 1533-position model. The record is from RNAcentral.
GAUGAACGCUGGCGGCGUGCCUAAUACAUGCAAGUCGAGCGAACAGACGAGGAGCUUGCUCCUUUGACGUUAGCGGCGGACGGGUGAGUAACACGUGGGUAACCUACCUAUAAGACUGGGAUACUUCGGGAAACCGGAGCUAAAACCGGAUAAAAUUUCGAACCCCCUGGUUCGAUAGUGAAAGAUGGCUUUGCUAUCACCUAUAGAUGGACCUGCGCCGUAUUAGCUAGUUGGUAAGGUAACGGCUUACCAAGGCAACGAUACGUAGCCGACCUGAGAGGGUGAUCGGCCACACUGGAACUGAGACACGGUCCAGACUCCUACGGGAGGCAGCAGUAGGGAAUCUUCCGCAAUGGGCGAAAGCCUGACGGAGCAACGCCGCGUGAGUGAUGAAGGUCUUCGGAUCGUAAAACUCUGUUAUUAGGGAAGAACAAACGUGUAAGUAACUGUGCACGUCUUGACGGUACCUAAUCAGAAAGCCACGGCUAACUACGUG